This 386-nucleotide ribosomal RNA is filed under the name Paracalanus sp. Its description in RNAcentral is "partial small subunit ribosomal RNA". It matches the Rfam family "Eukaryotic small subunit ribosomal RNA", at positions 587 to 975 of the family's 1831-position model. The record is from RNAcentral. Lineage: Eukaryota; Metazoa; Arthropoda; Copepoda; Calanoida; Paracalanidae.
AGCUCCAAUAGCGUAUAUUAAAGUUGUUGUGGUUAAAAAGCUCGUAGUUGGAUCUCAACAGCCUUGAAGCGGUUAACUUUGUAGUUUUACUGCUUUAUAGGCUGUGCUUUUGCUGGAGGUUUAGGGGUGCUCUUGAUCGAGUGUCUCUGGAUGCCAGCAGGUUUACUUUGAAAAAAUUAGAGUGCUCAAAGCAGGCUAAAAUGCCUGAAUAUUCGUGCAUGGAAUAAUAUAAUAGGAUGUCGAUCCUAUUUUGUUGGUUUUCGGGACUCGACAUAAUGAUAAAUAGGGACAGUCGGGGGCAUUUGUAUUCAAACGACAGAGGUGAAAUUCUUGGACCGUUUGAAGACAAACUACUGCGAAAGCAUUUGCCAAGAAUGUUUUCAUUA